RNAcentral lists this ribosomal RNA (397 nucleotides) under uncultured bacterium. Its description in RNAcentral is "partial 16S ribosomal RNA". It matches the Rfam family "Bacterial small subunit ribosomal RNA", at positions 523 to 918 of the family's 1533-position model. The record is from RNAcentral.
AUACGUAGGGGGCGAGCGUUGUCCGGAAUGAUUGGGCGUAAAGGGCGCGUAGGCGGCGCGGUAAGUCUGGAGUGAAAGUCCUGCUUUCAAGGUGGGAAUUGCUUUGGAUACUGCCGCGCUUGAGUGCAGGAGAGGUUAUCGGAAUUCCCGGUGUAGCGGUGAAAUGCGUAGAGAUCGGGAGGAACACCAGUGGCGAAGGCGGGUAACUGGACUGCAACUGACGCUGAGGCGCGAAAGUGUGGGGAGCAAACAGGGUUAGAUACCCUGGUAGUCCACACUGUAAACGAUGAAUGCUAGGUGUAAGAGGUAUCGACCCCUUUUGUGCCGGAGUCAACACAAUAAGCAUUCCGCCUGGGGAGUACGGCCGCAAGGUUGAAACUCAAAGGAAUUGACGGGG